UCACAGUUCUUAGUAUAGAGCCUGACUAACUGUGGACAUAUUUACACUACAGAUUUAAAACUGACUUAAUAGUUAUUUUCUCUACUCUGAGAAAUGGCACCCUUGUGAUCUGUGUAAGAGGGUCUUAUUUUUGGAUGGCUGUCCAGUUUCGAGAGAAAGAAACCUUGAUGUUACCCACCCCAUGAAGUUACAACAACAGAUUAUCCAAAAGAACAACAAAACAAAACAGAAAACAUCAUCUCCAGCCCAAGGAUUCCGGUGCAGGGCAUUAAAGAUGGGAAGAACUUCCUGAUAUUCCACAACCAUCCCCUGAGCAAUGCCAAUUUGAGUGAUGGUCAUUCAUCCAACACCACCAAUUGAACUUCGUGGCAGAGCUGACAUUUGAACCUAUGUUUCUCUAAUCGGAAUCUGGGUCUUUAUGCACUACAUCACACUGCAUUAAUUUUCUCCUGUAGAAUGGUUUCUUUGAGCAACCCUUCAGUUUUCUAUGGGUUGAAUGUUGCUGUUAUCUCCUUAAAGUUGAGACAACAAACAGGCAAAUGAGAGAGGUUCUGUUUGGACUCUCGUGUUUACAUUACCAACAGAAUGCUGCCUUUUAUUUGCAUUUUUUGAAGCUUCACUGAAGAGGAGAGCAGCAGCGAUCUGCAAAAGGGGGUGGA
Sceloporus undulatus (fence lizard) is the source of this 659-nucleotide long non-coding RNA. RefSeq lists it as uncharacterized. The record is from RefSeq and is a predicted model, not a curated record. NCBI's taxonomy places the organism in Eukaryota, Metazoa, Chordata, Lepidosauria, Squamata, Phrynosomatidae. The transcript is spliced from 3 exons.